GGAGAAGUUGCCGACGACGGUGGCGUUGAGGAUGCCGAGGUACUGGCUGGGGAGGGAUCCCGGGAGCGAUUUCGACGGCGAGAUUAUGAAGGCAAGGCCGUGGCCGCCGAGCUUUGGGUACUCAGGGACGAUGGUGAAGACGAAGGAGGUGGAGAAGGAAAAUGCUUUGCCGUCGGUGGAGUUUUUGAAUCGAACUGGGGCGGAGUAGAAGGCGUGGCCGAGGACUCUGAGAGUGUCGUUUGUGAGCUUUAGCAUGCCGUUGGGCUCGAUUGACGCGACGCCGUUUAAGCUCAUGUUGCUGCUGUUGGCGACACCAUUGAAGCCCUUGAAGUAGAGCUCUUGGUCGAGCUGGGUUUUUGCUGGGUUUGGGAGAAGGAGGAGGAAAACCCAGCAAAGUAUGAAUCUUUGGAAUGCCAUAGGAAGUAAAGCUCGAGUCUUUGCUGGGUUUUUGUUAAGCAGAUGGCACUGGAGUUUUCAGUGUCCAUUUUUUACCAAUAAUAACAGUAUUUAGAUAGGACAGUUUUUCGUUUUGCUCGUGACGGCAAAUGUGGAUGGGUCAAUUGGGUUUGCUUGCGGAAUAAAGAGUCGGUUGGUCUGCAGUUUUUCGUUUUGUUCGUGACGCAUAUUAACGGCAAUUGUGGGCGGGUCAUUGGUUCGCGCCACUUGUGUGAAGUCGAGGACGGAGAUUUGAAAUUUGUGUUGGAGGACCUAAUGGUGAGUUGCCACCUAACAUCGUCAAUCAUAAUACAAAAUGGUUUUAAUUAUUAUGAAUUUGUUAAUGUGUUUGGUAUUUUUCAAUUACUUUGAUAUUUUUGUUUUUUAAUGUGUUUGGUAUUUUUCAAUUACUUUGAUAUUUUUGUUUUUUAAUGUGUUUUAUAAUAUUUUAAUCUCACUUUUAAGAGGAUACAAUAUUUAUAAGUACAAUUGUAUAAGAGAUAAUGAAAAUCGUUGUUAAGUGUUGACUCUAAAAUUGAAAGUCUGUCUUUUUGCCUAUACAAAUACUAUACUACUUGAUUUGAAUUUUGGACAACUAUACAAGUAAAAUUAUUCUAGCAAUGAUAAUAAGAAACUCUCAUAAUAAAAAUAAAUAAAACUUAAUUUUUUACUUAUUUAGAAUAAUAAUAAAUUAAUAAUACAAUAAUAUAUAUUUAAUACACAAUAUAUACACUACUACUAGAGUUUUUAUCAUUUAUAGCCAAAAUUUUAUACUCUAAUUUCACAAAUGUCAAUUUUUAUAAUAUCAGAAAACCACCUAUAACAAACCUAAGUAUCCUCAUAAUAAAACCAAAUUACAACCAUAAUCUAAAACCUGUUUGAUCUUUUGUGUUUGUUCAAAAAUGGAGAAUUCAGAUGUUAUGCCCUGAUCCCGACAUUCGUCAGGAUCGACGCAUGACGACCAGGUGUAGGGGGUGCGGGGAGAUAUAAACAUAAGACACAAAUGAAUAGUGGUACUAAAAUGAAGAGAGGGAUUGACUUUUUAUACACGAUUUGUUACUAACGGUUAGGAUGUUUUGAUCAUGGGGAUCCGAUAUAACUUAUCCGUACAGGAUCAUUAUCCAUAACUUUUUGAAAACGUUAUAACCCCUCGCCAUAAAAUAAGUAUUGUUUCCAAAAUAUACAUACUACGUGUAGUAAGAAAAUACCUACUGUAGCCUGCAAAAUCACAAGAUUGCCACAAGUCGCAAUGUUGUGUAAAUGAACAUAUAACAACCAAUAUCACAUAAUCUCGCAUAAGCAAACAUAUCAUAUCGGGUGCUCAUCGACACAUGCUGACACACGAGUUCAUGUAGAGGUAUUCUGACAUGAAUAGGACUAGGCGUAACAAUGAUAUACGCUCUAGUACUACAAUCACGUGAAGCCUAGCGCUAUGCGAGCACAUACGAGUUUGAGUUACCUAUUGCAACAUGCACGACAGGACUGACACCUACAAUGGAUCCAAAGUGAGUGUACGGUGCAAUGUGCACAUACACGUGAAAGAUUGGCCCUGACCUGGGUGAGUACCAACACCGGUGUAGCAAACGAUGAGCAAAUAACAUAAUUAUAAUUUAUAAUCAUGCCACAACCAUUCAACAAUUCUAGUCAAUAUCUUACUAUUCAUGACCAUAAAUAUAAUUAAGGCAUCCUCUUAUAGUAAGCUUAUAUGUGCAUCCCAUAGGAUUAUUUCAUCAUUUCCCAACAAUAAGGCAUUUCUUAUAAACGUAAGUUUAAUCAUCAGGGCCGGCGCUGAGAGGGUGCAAGUGGUGCUACCGCACAAGGCCCUUGAUUUUUCAAUUUUGCAUGCAUAUACAUAUAUAUAGUAGUAAGUCACAAACUUGAGUCUUAGCGCAAGUGGAAUUAUUGCUUCUUUACAUCAGCCUAGGAGAUGAGUUCAUCUCCAUCAUUUUUUCAGUUUAUAUUUUUAUUAAAUGCAUAAGUUUCCACAAAAUAAUAUAAAAAUUCCACAUAAUAACAUGAAAAUUCGAACCCUAACCCUCUAAAUAGUUAAGGAAAAACAAUACCCCACAUUUCUACUUGUUGAUUUGUUAAAUUUGUUUGUGCUAUUAGAAUUUAUAGAAGCUCAAUUGAAAACUAAAAUUAUUAUUUUGAACAAAAAAAUAAAAAAAAUUAAAUUCUUAGUACAUUUUAGGGCCUCCAAUUCACUUUCGCAUAAGGCCCCUGAAAUCUCAAGGCCGGCUCUGUUAAUCAUGGCAAUCACGUUGAGAAUUUACUAUUAAUUGUAUAUAUGGAAACUAACCAAUAGAUAUAUACAUAUAAAUACAUACAUACAUAUAUAUAUAUAUAUAUAUAUAUAUAUAUAUAUAUAUCAAAUAAAAGACCCACUCACAGAUCAUGUCGUUGAGUCGAACCCGCCUUGUAGCAUCGAGAGUCUUUGCGAAGCGUUUCGCCUAGAAAUGAAAUCAUUUAGGUAAAUAUAACGUACUAAUGUAAUUACACAUUUUCGUACAAAGUACGGCUAAUAAAGGAACUAUCUUAAAAAGGUCGAAUUUCAAAAAACGGAUGGAGGAUUUGAAAUCGGGGCGUCUAAAUGCGCGAAGGAGGGUCCUCGACAAAUUUUGUAAAAAGUCAACGGUCAACCCUAAAAGUCAACCGAGAAGCCCCCGGUGGUCAACUACGUUAAAACUUUAUAAUUUCACUAAAUGAAUGUCAAAAAUGCACUCGGGACUUUGAAAUUAGCCAAGGAGGGUUUUCCGAGAAAUUCCGAAAAAUGUCAACACCAGGAAUAUUCCAAAGAAUAUUCCAAGAAUAUUCUGAAAUGUUUCAGGCCCAUUUUGGAAUUGGGCCGGUUGGCCAAAGUUUUGGACCAAAAGAAUAUGGGCCGGGCUUUUUGGGCUUAAGGCCCCCCCCCUCUUUUUUUUCUUCUUUUUUUUCAUUUUUUUUCUCUGUUCUUCUCCGGCCAACCGCCGAAGUCUGGGGACACUUGGCCAGGAAAUUUUCCAGGCUUCACCUCGCUUAGAAACUCAACUAAAACUAGCAGUGUAAUAUACCAAUUUGAAGCUCAAAAGGAGAGGAAAAGAAAUAUACCAACAGGGGAUCCUUCCAUGGCCGAUAUUGGCCGGAAAACGGCACGAAGCCACCUGGUUUCUCGCCGGAAAUUGGUCAACUUUCCCCCGCCUUGAUUCCUGCUUCAAAAUGUCACCAAAGCAUCUCAAAAUUACCCUAAUCUACUCUAAAACGUGGUCCAAGAAGGUUUAGGUUAGUUUCGAGGCUCACCUUCACUGGAGUUCUCCAUUUCAUUUAGUCUCCGAUGCGAGGUCUGGAGGUUGUUCGAGUUUGGGUCCUGGGCUCGGAAAUAGAGAGAUGGGACAAGCUGGGGGUGAUGGUGACGUGGCUCGCCGGCGAGGUGCGAGAGGCUAUGGUUAAAAUAAUAAAUUAUUAUUAUUAAAAUAAUAAUUUAAAAACAAAAUAAUAUUAAAAUAAUGAUAUAAUAAUUAUGAGAAAUAUAUAAAAUAAUAAAUAGCUAUUUUUUUAACAAAAGUACUUUUUAGAUUUGUAGUUACAUAAAUUUUUUAUCGUAAAUCCGAUUUCGAUUCCGUUUACUCCUAUACGUUCGUACCGUCUUGUACACGUCACGAACUGAUGGUCAAUAAAAGUUAACAUUCUCGUCUCUAGAGCAUUUUUAUCAAUUCACUUAUUUAAAAUUCAUAAAAUUAUAAAAAUAGGGACGGAAUAUCAUGUUAGUAGCUUAUAUAAGAAAACUGGUAGUACAGGAAAUAUCAAAUUCAAUCAUGAAGAUAUUGACCUCGUCAAAAGAAUCAAAGAAAAAAUAAAAACAUACCAGAUCUUUCCUUACUAUUAGACAAUGAUUACUUAAUAAUUCAAACAGAUGAAUUUAGGGGGUUAAAUUUUGAGGGUAUUUAUGUUAAUUUGAUCAGAUUUUUGGCUAUAUUUGAAAGAUAAUGUAAAAACUGACAUUUAUGAAUUUAGGGGGUUAAAUUUUGACUAUAAAUGAUAAAAACUUCUAUGCUAUUGUAUUUCAUAGUAAGUUUUUUGUUAAUACCUUAACUUUAUAAUCAUCAAAAUAAUUUUUUUAACGAAUCGAAAUGGGUUACCCACAGGUUACUCGCGUGUAAACCCGUCAUUAACGAGUUCUAAAUAGGCGGCCCGAUAACGACUAUUAGUUGCUGUGUUGACUCAAAACCCGUUAUUUUCAUGUCAUUUUUGUGUUGAGUUAACAAAUCGUGUAAGAAAUUAUAAAGUCUAGUUGUAGACAAAUCCGCUCCUGCGCAUGUUAGAGUAUCACAUUUGUUGACCUCUCGACAGCUGACGCAGGCGGGUGGUCAGGUUACCUGCAAGAAACUAUAAUCCUAAGAACGAUGAUCCAAGUGUCACGGGCCAUGUGUUAAAAACAAAGAAAAUGCCCAAGACAUCAUAUAUCUAAGCCCAUGAAGCCAUGUCUUCAUGGAAGCUUCUGGAACGUCCCGGAGAAAUCAAGAACGUGGCGGAGCAUUCAAGAUAAUCUAGGGCAUUCCGGAACAUUCCACACAAGUGUACAUAUUUAAGCCUCACCUAGAAUAAUCUAGAUUAGGCAAGUUGUAUCUAGAACUAUGCUAGAUAUUUUUGGAUGUAAGUAGAGGAUUCUAGAACCCUCCAUUGAGGAGGUGACUUAGGCCUAUAAAUAGGAGGCAAGGCCAUUUGGCCAAACCAUCCAAGAAUUGUAAGCAAUUGUAAAGUUCUCUUAACUUUCAAUACAAAGCUUCCUUUCUCCCAUCUUCUAAGUGAUCUUAGCAUUCUCCAAGCUAUCUUAGCUUUCUUUGUGAUUCGAUCCGGGGAAGCGAGGCUUCGAAGGCUUACUUAGCUUGUUCAUCGAGGUAUUCAAGUCUAAGUGCCGCACGGGCGGAAGGCUUAAAGAGUCAUCCCGUGACAGCUGGUAUCAGAGCCUAGUUCGUGAAUCACUUGAAGGAAAGUAAGAUAUGUCAAGUGGAGAGACGGUGUCCGGAGUCUCCGAGCUAAGGGAGCGUGCUGUCGAGGUCCAAGACGUUGCCAAGAGCAAGCCAAAGUUAAAGGACUUGCAAGCAUCGAUGGAGACCAUGGAAGAGCGACUCGAGAAGAUGGAACGAACCAUACUCGAGUUCGAUACUCGACUUGAUGAGGACGUUGUCGACAAGGAGGAAAUCCAAACCAUAGUGGACAAUGGUAAGGAUGAACUGCGUGGCUUGGUGGAAGGGCUACGAGAUGAGCUCCUUGGCGCUCUCAACACCAUGGCAGACAAGAUGCGGAGGGAAGUCCAGGUUCACCUUGACAACAUAGAGGCAAGGUUUGUGGCGCUUCAAGAAGAGAUAAAGGACACAAGGGAACUCAAGGGAGAUGUGGCGUUUUGUAAAGAAGCAGUCGUGAAGCAAUUCGUGCAAGGGUCGAGGGAAAUCAAGUCGUUGGACUCCAAGGUAAUCGACUCCUUUAAACCCAAAUCCUAUAAUGGGAAGAGGGAAGCAAAGGAGCUCGACACAUUCGUGUGGAACGUAGAGCGAUACUUCAAGUACCUGAAGCUUGAAGAUGACGAGUCCAAAAUCUCAACGGCAACCAUGUUCUUAGCUGACAAUGCCCUUAUGUGGUGGCGUCGUCGGAGCAUGGAAAUUGAGCAAGGUACGUUCUCUCUCACCACUUGGGAUGAAUUUAAGAAAGAUCUUAUGUUGCACUUCUAUCCCCAAAAUGCCAAGUACGAAGCCAAGGAGAAACUAAGGUGGCUCAAGCAAACGGGGAGCGUCAAAGACUAUGUCAACGCCUUCGUGAGCUUGUUAUUCGAGGUGCCCAACAUGUUAGAGGAAGACAAGCUCAUGUACUUCAUGAGUGGACUGCAAAAUUGGGCAAAAACUCGAACUACAAAGGAGACACGUGCAAACAUUGUCUGAUGCCAUUGCCGCUGCCGAAUCCUUGAUUGAGUUUAAAUCAAGCCACCAAGGUGAUUCCAAGUCCACGGGGAAGAAGGGUAACCAUGAGAGAAGUGGGGGAGAACAUAAGCCGAAGGACAAGGCCGAGACAAGCAAACCGAAGGAGAAGAAAGCCGAUAAGCAUGACAAAGGCAAAGGUAAGUCUUGGCAACCCACUUGUUACCUAUGCGACGGCCCUCACAUGAUGCGAGAUUGCCCACAAAAGAAGGCCCUUAAGGCCAUGACCUUCAAGGAGGACAAGGCCGAAGAGAGUAACGAUGCAACGAUGGGAUGCAUCCGUCUACUGAAUGCCAUCCAGACAACCCUCCCACAACCUAAGGCUCAAGUUGGGGGAGGAUCAUUGUUCGUCGACGUCAAGACUGGUGACAAGACGACGCGUGUGUUGGUGGACACGGGAGCAACACACAACUUCAUGACGUCGGAGGAAGCAACAAGGCUUGGCCUCCGAGUCACAAAGGAGCCUGGUAGCGUGAAGACGGUAAAUUCCGCUGCCACCCCUAUUGUUGGAGUUGCGCGCAAUGUACAAGUAGACAUUGGCGCAUGGAAGGGAGAGAUCGACUUCACUAUAGUCAAGAUGGACGACUAUGGCGUAGUCAUUGGGUUAGAGUUCAUGGACAAGGUACGAGCCUUUCCCAUUCCCUUCUACAAUAUUUUCUGUAUCCUGGCCGAUGGAAGACAACCUUGCCUAGUGCCAUUGGAAAGGCAAGCCAAGAAGUGCACCCAACACUUGUCGGCAAUUCAAUUUGCCAAGUCUUGGAAGAAAGGCGAGGCCACAUUUCUUGCAACCCUAAUGUUGAAUGAAGGGGAGGAGAAGUACGGGCCUUUGCCGAAACAAGUGGAAGACGUCCUUGUGGAGUUUGCGGACGUGAUGCCUAAGGAACUGCCAAAGAAGUUACCACCAAGGAGAGAGGUCGACCAUGCGAUUGAGUUGGAGCCUGGUGCUAAGCCUCCCUCCAAAUCACCUUAUAGGAUGUCGCCACCCGAGUUGGAGGAAUUGAGGAAGCAACUCAACGAGCUACUUGAUGCUGGCUACAUCCAACCCUCCAAGUCCCCAUAUGGUGCACCCGUCCUGUUCCAACGCAAGAAAGAAGGUAGCCUAAGGUUGUGCAUCGACUAUAGAGCAUUGAACAAGAUUACCAUCAAGAACAAGUAUACCCACUUCCGUUGAUCGCCGACUUAUUCGAUCAACUUGGUGAAGCAAGGUACUUCACAAAGUUAGAUCUUCGAUCGGGAUACUACCAAGUGAGGAUAGCCCCUGGAGACGAAUCGAAGACGGCGAUGGUGACCAGAUAUGGAGCGUUCGAGUAUAAAGUCAUGCCAUUUGGUCUGACCAAUGCCCCCGCAACAUUUUGCACAUUGAUGAACAAGGUAUUCCAUCCUUAUCUUGACAAGUUUGUCGUGGUUUACAUUGAUGAUAUCGUUGUCUAUAGCAAGACAUUGGAGGAGCAUGUCAAGCACUUGCGCAUAGUGUUCCAGACCCUUCGGGAGCAUGAACUCUAUGUCAAGAAGGAGAAAUGCUCCUUUGCCACAAAAGAAGUAGAAUUUCUUGGCCACAAGAUAAAGGAGGGGAAACUUAUGAUGGAAAAGGGCAAGAUCAAGGCCAUUCAAGAGUGGGAACCGCCGACCAAGGUACCAACACUACGAUCCUUUCUGGGGCUAGCCAACUACUAUCGGAGAUUCAUAAAAGGGUAUUCAGCUAUAGCGGCACCUUAACAGACCUUCUUAAGAAAAACAAGGCAUGGGAAUGGACGGACCGGUGUCAAGAGGCCUUUUGAGAGGUUGAAGAAGGCCCUAAUGGAGGAGCCUGUACUAAGGUUGCCCGACCUUAGUAAGCCAUUCGAGUUGCACACUGAUGCUUCCGACUUUGCCAUAGGAGGAGUGUUGAUGCAAGAGGGACAUCCGAUAGCCUAUGAAAGUCGCAAGCUAAACAAUGCCGAGAAGAGGUACACGACCCAUGAAAAGGAGAUGACCGUCAUCGUCCAUUGCCUUAGAGUUUGGAGGCAUUACUUGCUUGGUACCCCAUUCGUCAUCAAGACGGACAACGUUGCCACUAGCUACUUUCAAACCCAACAAAAGCUCACACCUAAGCAAGCAAGGUGGCAAGAGUUCUUAGCGGAGUUUGAUUACAAGCUAGAGUACAAGCAAGGAAAGGAGAACGUGGUGGCCGAUGCUCUAAGUAGACGAGUAGAGUUAAUGGCUACGGUACUCAAGCCGCAAAGCCAUCUCUUGGAUCGUGUCCGAGAAGGUUUGUCACAUGACGUCCAAGCCAAGAACAUUGUGGAGUUUGUCAAGGAUGGGAAGACAAGAAGGUUUUGGCUUGAGGACGGCUUGCUAUACAGCAAGGGCAAGUGGAUCUACGUCCCAAAGUGGGGAAGCUUAAGGAAAGAAAUCCUUAAGGAGUGCCAUGACUCAAUGUGGGCAGGACAUCCUGGUACUCACCGCACGUUGGCUUUGGUAAGCGAUGCUUAUUAUUGGCCACAAAUGCGGGAUGAUGUAGAUUCAUACGUGAAGACUUGUCUUGUGUGCCAACAAGACAAAGUGGAACAAAGGCAACCGGGAGGACUGUUGGAACCACUUCCCACCCCAUCAAGACCAUGGGAGUGUUUGACCAUGGAUUUCAUCACACAUUUGCCCAAGUCUGAUGGAUGUGGAUCUAUCUUCGUCGUGGUCGAUAGAUUCACCAAGUAUGCCACUUUCAUACCCGCACCUGUGGAGUGCACAGCCGAAGUAGCUGCACGCUUGUUUCUAAAGCACGUGGUGAAGUAUUGGGGUGUUCCGAGGAGCAUAGUCAGCGAUCGAGAUGCUCGCUUCACGGGUAGAUUUUGGAAGGAGCUCUUCAAGCUACUUGGCUCAAAGUUAGACUUCUCCACAGCUUUUCAUCCCCAAACUGAUGGACAAACGGAGCGGGUUAACGCAUUGUUGGAGACUUAUUUGCGGCACUAUGUUAGUGCCAAUCAACGAGAUUGGGCUAAGUUACUUGAUGUUGCCCAAUUCUCUUAUAACUUGCAACGUUCGGAGUCGACGGGGAAAAGUCCGUUCGAGUUGGCUAUAGGGCAACAACCCUUGACCCCGAACACGGUCGUGACUGGCUACACGGGGAAUAGUCCAGCCGCUUUCAAAACCGCUAAGGAGUGGCAAUUAGCCCACGAACUUGCUCGAGCUCACUUGGAGAAGGCUUCAAAGAAGAUGAAGAAAUGGGCGGAUCGUAAGCGAAGGAAUGUGGAGUUCCAAACCGGCGACCAAGUCUUUGUGAAGCUCAAUGCGUCUCAGCACAAGAGUACUCGUGGCUUGCACAAGAGCUUGUUGCGGAAGUAUGAGGGACCAUUCCCUAUCAUCAAGAAGGUUGGCAAAGCCGCUUAUGUGUGUGGAACUCCCACCCCGCCUCAAGUUUCACCCGGUGUUCCAUGUGAGCAACUUAAAGCCUUAUCAUGCAGACAAUGAGGAGCCAAGCCGAGGUGAGUCUCAUCGAGCACCCCCUUUGAUGACGGAGGCAUUUGACAAAGAAGUGGAGAGCAUUGAAGCCAAGCGUGUCGUGGUGCGACCAAGACAACCAAAGCAUGUGAAGUACUUUGUCAAAUGGAAAGGGCUACCAUACUCCGAAGCAACAUGGGAGAAGGAGACGUCCUUAUGGCAAUAUAAGGACUUGAUUCAGACAUUCGAGAGGCAAGAGUCGACGAGGACGUCGACGGCUUAAGUGGGGGAGGAUGUCACGGGCCAUGUGUUAAAAACAAAGAAAAUGCCCAAGACAUCAUAUAUCUAAGCCCAUGAAGCCAUGUCUUCAUGGAAGCUUCUGGAACGUCCCGGAGAAAUCAAGAACGUGGCGGAGCAUUCAAGAUAAUCUAGGGCAUUCCGGAACAUUCCACACAAGUGUACAUAUUUAAGCCUCACCUAGAAUAAUCUAGAUUAGGCAAGUUGUAUCUAGAACUAUGCUAGAUAUUUUUGGAUGUAAGUAGAGGAUUCUAGAACCCUCCAUUGAGGAGGUGACUUAGGCCUAUAAAUAGGAGGCAAGGCCAUUUGGCCAAACCAUCCAAGAAUUGUAAGCAAUUGUAAAGUUCUCUUAACUUUCAAUACAAAGCUUCCUUUCUCCCAUCUUCUAAGUGAUCUUAGCAUUCUCCAAGCUAUCUUAGCUUUCUUUGUGAUUCGAUCCGGGGAAGCGAGGCUUCGAAGGCUUACUUAGCUUGUUCAUCGAGGUAUUCAAGUCUAAGUGCCGCACGGGCGGAAGGCUUAAAGAGUCAUCCCGUGACACAAGGAUCCCUUUCUUUAUUAAUUAGAAGGAGCAGAUAGUUUGUAGCAAUUUAAAUCUUGUUGGAAAGAUUGAUAUGUUCCCAUCCAGUGACCUGGAUUUCACAGAUGAUUUUAUGCAAAAGUAUUCAAAAAUAAAGAGAUGAAUUUGUACUGGUUUUAUAUGUUCUAAUGCUUCAUGACAUUAAGCGUGCAAGCUCUUCUCAUGUUUUUUAUGUUCUAUUUUUAUUUAUUUAUAUAUUUUAUACCACUGAAAUUGAGAGAAGUUACAAUUUAACACAGAACCUCAAACGAGAAUCGAAUACAGAACCUCGUCGUCGACGUUAGGUAAGAUAUAAUCAAUGAUGUGAAGACUUGUAUAAACACAAUGAAUUUCAAAGGUUAAAGAGGAAGAUAUAAAUGCAGGUCAAAGAAACAUCAUUUACAGGAAUAUAUUUACAAGUUACAAGCCAACAAGGUGCGUCACAAAAAUCAAGUUUACAUACAUCAACGCAGAAAUACUAACACAACUAUAAUCAUACAAAAGAAAAACAAACAAGCAAAAUACGAAAGGGAAAAAGAGGGGACUGUCACUCCUACAUGGGAAAAACUUGAGCGUAGCUGGGAAUUUUCCGCCCUGCUUCUAUCUCUGACUUGAUGUGAGAGAUAAAAGACAGGGCGGAUAAAUCCUCAAUUACAUGCUAGAAUCCCCGCUAGCUUGGGUACCUGUCACUACCACAUCUAUGACUACCCGAUACUAAGGGAGGUGAGCCAGAACCGCCUUCAAAAUCAACAUCCGCAUCAUCACAAGACCAAUCACUUGCCUUCACAAAACCUGAUGAUGUGGGAUAAGAAUGCACAUAAUCCUCAAACUCAACACCCUUCUUCCCAUCAUAAGCCCCGGGAGACGCCACUGCGUCCGGCAGCGCUGCCUCACCCUCCAAGUACCUCACCACCUGCCUCAUUGUGGGUCUUGCCUUGGGGGAAUUAUUUGAGCACAUCAGCCCUAGCUUCAGCACCACCACAGCCUCCAGAUCAUCAAACUCAUCCUCCAAUCUGGGGUCCACAACUUCAAGAAUUGCACCAGCCUUCCACUUCUCCCAAACCCAAUCAACCAACAUCAGCUCCUCCGGCAGGGCUUUUGGCUCGAUGGGUCUCCUCCCACACACCAGCUCCAGCAGGAGAGCACCAAGAGCAAACACAUCCGAGCUCGGAGUUGGUUUUCCGGUCCGAGUAAACUCGGGAGCGAGGUAACCCAGUGUCCCAACAACCCUAGUUGUUGUAGGGUUUGUUCCAUGCUCAUACAAUUUAGCAAGACCGAAAUCUCCAAGCCUUCCAUUCAUCUCAGAAUCCAAAAGCACGUUUCCUGCUUUUACGUCCCUAUGAAUCACAGUCUGCUCCCAACCUUCGUGCAAAUACAAUAAGCCAGAAGCUACAUUUUGAGCUAUCUUGAACCUCUGUUCCCAGCUCAAAAUUGCUUUUGGCUUCUCAAAUAAAUAUUUAUCCAAGCUCCCAUUAGCCAUAAAAUCAUACACAAGCAACAAAUCUCCACGCCGGCGACACCACCCCAACAACUGCACUAAAUUCCUGUGCCUGAGACGGCCAAUGGUGGCGAUUUCCGACACGAAUUCCUGCAGACCCUGCCUCGACUCGUGCGAAAUUCGCUUAACCGCCACUUGGGUUUCCGAAUUCGGCAGUGUCCCCUUGUAAACCUUACCAAAUCCACCAAACCCGAUCAACUCUUUAUCCCUGAACCCUCUGGUGGCCUGCUUCAGCUCAUUGUAUCUGAAUCUAUGAGGCCCAAUGUCGAGCUCCCACGGCUCGAUCACCUCGGCGUUCUUGAUCCUGUGAACAAUGUAGAAGCCCAAUCCGGCGGCCAAGAUAAAGAAAACAAGAACAGAAAGAGAAACGCCAACGAUCAACGCUGAUGAAUGCUUCUUUUUCGGGCCGGGAAGUUUAGGCAGAGCUUCUAAAUCCAGAGAUUUGGCUUCUCCGUUCAUCUUAAAGCUCCAACCGGAGACGUAGUGGGAGCUGGCGAGCAACCCGGUCGAAGCAGAGAAUCCAACGUACAUAAAAUCUUCCAAAAUUGGAGAAAGAUCGACAUCGAAUGUUAAAAUAGGGGAUCUGGGUUUGAUCGAAUCGGGUGAAAGCAUGACAGUGACUUGAUUUUUCACCGAAUCGUAGUCGACCCAGGCCUGGAUCGGCAGCCCACUCUUGAGCUUGAGGUUCUCCUUCGUCGAAUUUCCACCGGUGAAAAACCCGGCUGGGGUCGAUUUGUUGGAAGCCAGGCUGUUGAUAUCGAUUCCGACAUGGUUGUCGUUGAUGUCCCCGAAUUCGAAGUCCUGGACUGUGUCGAAUUCGACGGCAAAGAUGUGGUUGGAGAAGUUGCCGACGACGGUGGCGUUGAGGAUGCCGAGGUACUGGCUGGGGAGGGAUCCCGGGAGCGAUUUCGACGGCGAGAUUAUGAAGGCAAGGCCGUGGCCGCCGAGCUUUGGGUACUCCGGGACGAUGGUGAAGACGAAGGAGGUGGAGAAGGAAAAGGCUUUGCCGUCGGUGGAGUUUUUGAAUCGGACUGGGGCGGAGUAGAAGGCGUGGCCGAGGACUCUGGGAGUGUUGUCUGUGAGCUUGAGCAUGCCGUUGACCAUGAUUGCUGCGACGCCGUUUAAGCUCAUGUU
RNAcentral lists this long non-coding RNA (13282 nucleotides) under Malus domestica (apple). Its description in RNAcentral is "long non-coding RNA (MDOM_LNC001060)". The record is from RNAcentral. Lineage: Eukaryota; Viridiplantae; Streptophyta; Magnoliopsida; Rosales; Rosaceae.